Molecule: long non-coding RNA, 1779 nt
Filed under: Nicotiana benthamiana
Lineage: Eukaryota; Viridiplantae; Streptophyta; Magnoliopsida; Solanales; Solanaceae
Description: long non-coding RNA (NBEN_LNC022361)
Source: RNAcentral
UCAGAUUGUAGUAUUAAAAAAGAGGUGUGACACUAACAACAUAAGGAGAAAACUAGAUUGUAGUCUAUAUAAGCUAAAUCGCUCGGCUAACAUAACGUUCACAUAAGCAUAACAUCAUUCAAUUGAGUCUAAACACCAUUAUCUUUUACAUAUGGAAUAAUUCAAAUCUUUAUCUUCUUCUUUUGUGAUAAGUUAAAGCUAUUCAAAUCUUGGGCACAAUUUACUCUUUUUUUAAUCUCAUAACUGGACGACCUUCAGUCAAACACGCCAAACAAAAAGAAGUUCAAUAAAAUUGACGAGAAAAUUGCAUCACAGACUAGUAUAUAAACUAGCUCACAAACAUCUUCUAUUAAUAAAAUAAGGAGGAGUAGAAGAUGAAGCUGUCAAAACAUUCAAUUAAUUCUUCCUCAAAUUACAAAAGAAUCUGACAGUGAAAAUCCAACGCAAAACGUAGCCAAGAAACAGAAAUUAACAGCCACGAACAAACCCCGAUCGGCGACGAACCCUCAAACAAACUCCAACAUGGGCAGAAUUUAACUCAUCUUCACUGAAAUCAGAAGGAACAAAAACUUCGAACUUCAAACGACCUCCAUAACAAACUGUUGUUGUUAGAUUUAGCCUUUGAUUUACAAAUCUCCUUUACACCUUGAAAUACCAAUGGAAUCCCAGAAAAUGAUGAAACAAAGAAAAGCAUAAAUCGAACUAGAUUCUAAGCCCACUCUUACUCCUUGUUUCUAUUUUGUUUACAGCCUCUGUUUCAUGGGUGUGUGAGUGCGUAUUUUUAUGAAGAAUGGAAAGGGGGAAGAAGGAAUGGUGAUGGGGGGUCGCUGGUGAAGGUUUAGUCGUUGGAGGAUGGGUCGUUGCUGAAGAAGAGUGGUCUUCUAUGAAGAAGAAGACAUUAGGGUGGGGGGUCAUGUAUUGUUCAGCAGCUGAAAGGUUGAAGAAGAUGAUUCAGGGGUCGUUCCUUUUUUCUUUGCUCUAGCGACGCUGAUUUUCCGUGUCCCUUCUAAGGUCUAGUUUUUUUUAAAUUAAAAGUUAUUUUUGGGAAUGGGUCGGGUCAGAUCCAGUUCGCUUGGGCGGGUUGGGGCGUUUUGGGCUGGACCGAUUGGGCUGGUGAAUCUUGGGCAAUUUGGAUUUAAAACAGCCUUUUUCAAUUUUCCCUUUUCUUUUCUUUCUUUAACUAAUUAAACUAAAAUUAAAUUUCUAAAUUAAUUUAAAUUAUAAUAUUGAGCUAUUAUCUAACUAUUAAUAUUUAUUAAAAUUAGUUGCGCCUAAAUUAAAAGAGAAAAAUCAAUAACCUAAAAUUUAAAGCUAAGAAUGAAAAAACGAGCCAUUUUUUGCGAUUUUCAUUUUCAAUAAAACAAUUAAUUAAUUAUCUAAUCCUAAAUGUGAACAGAAAAUCUAAAUACAAUUCAUGGUAUUUUGGUAUUUUUUUAUUUUUAAUGGAAAUUAAAUAUGCAAAUAAUUAAUAAAAUUUCUACAAAAAAUCCUAUAAAAUUGCAAAAAUUGGGAAAAUUUAUUUUUUAUUUUUUUGUGGGAGUAACUCAUAUAGGACAAAAAUUACGUGUUCACAGUCUAGAAAUUCAUUCUACCUCGGGCAAAUUGCGUCAAAAUCUGAGGUUCGAUCCAGUGAUUAGAAGUUUAAGCUUAGAUAAAAUUCUCUUUUCUCCCAUUGUUGUUCGUUUGUCGUCUUUGCAUGUUCAUGUCUUAGGUUUACAGUUUUUAGGAUUUUUUUUCUUUGUUCACAUGUUUAGUUGAUUUUUUGUUUGGGUUUAUUAG